RNAcentral lists this ribosomal RNA (497 nucleotides) under uncultured bacterium. RNAcentral's name for it is "partial 16S ribosomal RNA". It matches the Rfam family "Bacterial small subunit ribosomal RNA", at positions 28 to 507 of the family's 1533-position model. The record is from RNAcentral.
GAUGAACGCUGGCGGCGUGCCUAAUACAUGCAAGUCGAGCGAACAGACGAGGAGCUUGCUCCUCUGACGUUAGCGGCGGACGGGUGAGUAACACGUGGAUAACCUACCUAUAAGACUGGGAUAACUUCGGGAAACCGGAGCUAAUACCGGAUAAUAUAUUGAACCGCAUGGUUCAAUAGUGAAAGACGGUUUUGCUGUCACUUAUAGAUGGAUCCGCGCCGCAUUAGCUAGUUGGUAAGGUAACGGCUUACCAAGGCAACGAUGCGUAGCCGACCUGGGAGGGGGAUCGGCCACACUGGAACUGAGACACGGUCCAGACUCCUACGGGAGGCAGCAGUAGGGAAUCUUCCGCAAUGGGCGAAAGCUUGACGGAGCAACGCCGCGUGAGUGAUGAAGGUCUUCGGAUCGUAAAACUCUGUUAUUAGGGAAGAACAAAUGUGUAAGUAACUAUGCACGUCUUGACGGUACCUAAUCAGAAAGCCACGGCUAACUACGUG